RNAcentral lists this ribosomal RNA (549 nucleotides) under Salmonella enterica. RNAcentral's name for it is "partial 23S ribosomal RNA". It matches the Rfam family "Bacterial large subunit ribosomal RNA", at positions 1 to 589 of the family's 2925-position model. The record is from RNAcentral. Lineage: Bacteria; Pseudomonadati; Pseudomonadota; Gammaproteobacteria; Enterobacterales; Enterobacteriaceae.
GGUUAAGCGACUAAGCGUACACGGUGGAUGCCCUGGCAGUCAGAGGCGAUGAAGGGCGUGCUAAUCUGCGAUAAGCGCCGGUAAGGUGAUAUGAACCGUUAUAACCGGCGAUACCCGAAUGGGGAAACCCAGUGUGACUCGUCACACUAUCAUUAACUGAAUCCAUAGGUUAAUGAGGCGAACCGGGGGAACUGAAACAUCUAAGUACCCCGAGGAAAAGAAAUCAACCGAGAUUCCCCCAGUAGCGGCGAGCGAACGGGGAGGAGCCCAGAGCCUGAAUCAGCAUGUGUGUUAGUGGAAGCGUCUGGAAAGGCGCGCGAUACAGGGUGACAGCCCCGUACACAAAAGCGCAUGUGCUGUGAGCUCGAUGAGUAGGGCGGGACACGUGGUAUCCUGUCUGAAUAUGGGGGGACCAUCCUCCAAGGCUAAAUACUCCUGACUGACCGAUAGUGAACCAGUACCGUGAGGGAAAGGCGAAAAGAACCCCGGCGAGGGGAGUGAAAAAGAACCUGAAACCGUGUACGUACAAGCAGUGGGAGCACAGGUUUA